UCAAGUUUGGUUGAAGGAACAGGGUAGA
This 28-nucleotide non-coding RNA is filed under the name Homo sapiens (human). Lineage: Eukaryota; Metazoa; Chordata; Mammalia; Primates; Hominidae. The record is from RNAcentral.